This 458-nucleotide ribosomal RNA is filed under the name uncultured bacterium. RNAcentral's name for it is "partial 16S ribosomal RNA". It matches the Rfam family "Bacterial small subunit ribosomal RNA", at positions 338 to 795 of the family's 1533-position model. The record is from RNAcentral.
CCUACGGUGGGCAGCAGUGAGGAAUAUUGGUCAAUGGGCGCGAGCCUGAACCAGCCAAGUCGCGUGAGGGAAGACGGUCCUAUGGAUUGUAAACUUCUUUUGUCGGGGAGCAAAAGACGCCACGCGUGCCGUUCCGAGUGUACCCGAAGAACAAGCAUCGGAUAACUCCGUGCCAGCAGCCGCGGUAAUACGGAGGAUGCGAGCGUUAUCCGGAUUUAUUGGGUUAAACGGGUGCGCGGGGUAAGAUCAAGGACGCGUGAAAAUUGAGAGGCUAAACCGCUUCGAGCCGUUGAAACUGGUUUUCUUGAGUGAGUGAGAGGGAUGCGGAAUGCGUGGUGUAGCGGUGAAAUGCAUAGAUAUCACGCAGAACUCCGAUUGCGAAGGCAGCAUACCGGCGCUCAACUGACGCUCAUGCACGAAAGUGUGGGUAUCGAACAGGAUUAGAUACCCGAGUAGUC